UACAGAGGUCUCAAGCGUUGUUCGGAUUCAUUGGGCGUAAAGGGCGCGUAGGCUGCGGGGCAAGUCGGGUGUGAAAUCUCAGAGCUCAACUCUGAAACUGCACUCGAUACUGCUUUGCUUGAGGACUGGAGAGGAGAUUGGAAUUCACGGUGUAGCAGUGAAAUGCGUAGAUAUCGUGAGGAAGACCAGUUGCGAAAGCGGGUCUCUGGGCAAUUCCUGACGCUGAGGCACGAAGGCUAGGGGAGCAAACGGG
Molecule: ribosomal RNA, 253 nt
Filed under: uncultured bacterium
Lineage: Bacteria
Description: partial 16S ribosomal RNA
Rfam family: Bacterial small subunit ribosomal RNA
Source: RNAcentral